This 722-nucleotide unclassified non-coding RNA is filed under the name Hevea brasiliensis (rubber tree). Lineage: Eukaryota; Viridiplantae; Streptophyta; Magnoliopsida; Malpighiales; Euphorbiaceae. The record is from RNAcentral.
UACUGCGACUACAAGAGAUCACCUAUUACAACUAUCAUGAAUUUAUCUUCAGUUAUUUUGUAAAAUAACAUCCCCACUAGAGAACUUGCACUGCCAGAGGUCUCUUAAGUCUCUUCAUCAUUUUUCCCCUGAUCCAGAGCCGCCCAGGAUUUUCUCUCUCUAAAAGUAAUAGCUAGAUGUUCAAAGAUUUCUUUUGAAGCAUCAUGCUUCAUUGUGAGGGAUGGAUCUUUCUCACCUACAUACCCUAUGACCUUUGCAGGUGUUCCUGCCACCAUGCUGUGUGGAUCAACAUUCUUUAAUACAAGAGAAGCAGCAGCUAUCAUAGCCCCUUCACCUAUUUUUAUAUUCCCAAGUAUUGUUGAACAUGCUCCAAUAAGUGCACCAUCACCUACUUUUGGAUGGCGAUUACCUAAUUCUUUGCCAGUCCCUCCUAAAGUAACACCAUGCAUCAUCGAUACCCUGUUUCCUACAACAGCAGUUUCACCAAUAACCACACCAGUCCCAUGAUCCAAUAAUAUACCCUCUCCAAUUUUGGCAGCUGGAUGUAUGUCAACUCCAAAAACCUCACUAAUUCGACUCUGUAAUGCCAAGGCCAAUACUUUUCGCCCUUGGUUCCACAAAACAUGUGCUACUCGAUAGGAUUGCAGAGAAUGGUAACCCUUAAGAUACAGUAAAGCUGAACAAUAUGAUAAACAAGCAGGAUCCCGAUCUUUGAAUGCCUG